AUGCGUGCACUGCAUGCAGUGGGGUAUAUUCAUCGGGUUGCAUGCAAUGCCCUGCAUUCGGUGGGGUAUAUUCAUCGGGUUGCAUACGUGCACUGCAUGUGCUGUGUAGACUAUAGUAUUUCUAUCAAUGAUCAUAACUACUAUGCCCUUGAAGUCACAAAGGAAAGGCUGUUUACAGCAAGAGAAAAGGCUCAAGCAAAGCAAUGGCAGUUUAAUAUGGCCCGCCAGCAAGUAAGCACAAAGCAAAACGAGUUUGCAAGACAGACAAUGAUUUUGGCAAAGAUAUGCAAUGGCUUCUUUGAUAUAUUACCAUUUUGUAUGUAUCCCCAACGCCCAGACAGCGACGAUCCCAUUAUCACAUAUACGGGCGCGCACCUUCUCGUCGCGCGUGUCCAAGAACUUGCAAAAUCACUUUAUCAUUUUAUCACAGGCACCAAUCCUGCAGGAGGAUAUACUAGGAUGAUCUAA
RNAcentral lists this ribosomal RNA (468 nucleotides) under Triticum aestivum (bread wheat). RNAcentral's name for it is "partial small subunit ribosomal RNA". Lineage: Eukaryota; Viridiplantae; Streptophyta; Magnoliopsida; Poales; Poaceae. The record is from RNAcentral.